AUUGAACGCUGGCGGCAGGCCUAACACAUGCAAGUCGAACGAGUGGCGGACGGGUGAGUAAUGUCUGGGAACUGCCUGAUGGAGGGGGAUAACUACUGGAAAAGGUAGCUAAUACAGCAUACUAUAGGAAAACACAUAUGGGAUUAGCUAGUAGGUGAGGUAAUGGCUCACCUAGGCGACGAUCCCUAGCGGGUCUGAGAGGAUGAUCAGCCACACUGGGACUGAGACACGGCCCAGACUCCUACGGAUGCAGCAGUGGGGAAUAUUGCACCUUGGGCGCAAGCCUGAUGCAGCCAUGCCGCGUGUAUGAAGAAGGCCCUAGGGUUGUAAAGUACUUUCAGUCGGGAGGCGUUACCGACAGAAGAAGCACCGGCUAACUCCGUGCCAGCAGCCGCGGUAAUUC
RNAcentral lists this ribosomal RNA (403 nucleotides) under uncultured bacterium. Its description in RNAcentral is "partial 16S ribosomal RNA". It matches the Rfam family "Bacterial small subunit ribosomal RNA", at positions 30 to 526 of the family's 1533-position model. The record is from RNAcentral.